RNAcentral lists this transfer RNA (69 nucleotides) under Daucus carota subsp. sativus. It matches the Rfam family "tRNA". Rfam says of the family: Transfer RNA (tRNA) molecules are approximately 80 nucleotides in length. Lineage: Eukaryota; Viridiplantae; Streptophyta; Magnoliopsida; Apiales; Apiaceae. The record is from Rfam by way of RNAcentral.
GAAUCUGUGGCGCAAUGGUAGCGCGACUGACUCUGGAUCAGAAUGAGAGCAAUGGUUUAUUCAGAUUGG